This 32-nucleotide ribosomal RNA is filed under the name Apibacter mensalis. RNAcentral's name for it is "16S rRNA. Bacterial SSU". Lineage: Bacteria; Pseudomonadati; Bacteroidota; Flavobacteriia; Flavobacteriales; Weeksellaceae. The record is from RNAcentral.
UUACAAUGGAGAGUUUGAUCCUGGCUCAGGAU